GACGAACGCUGGCGGCGUGCUUAACACAUGCAAGUCGAACGGAAAGGCCCUGCUUGCAGGGUACUCGAGUGGCGAACGGGUGAGUAACACGUGGGUGAUCUGCCCUGCACUUCGGGAUAAGUCUGGGAAACUGGGUCUAAUUCAGGACAGGUGCUAUUUUGAGUGUGAUGGUUGGAAAGUUUUUUCGGUGCAGGAUGAGCCCGCGACCUAUCAGCUUGUUGGGGGGGUGAUGGGCUACCAAGGCGGCGACGGGUGGCCGGCCUGCGUGGGUGGACGGCGACAUUGGCACCGAGGUGCGGCCCAGGCUGCGACGGGAGGGAGCAGUGGGGAAGAUUGCACGAUGGGCGCAAGCCUGAUGCAGCGACGCCGCGUGGGGGAUGACGGUCUUCUGGUUGUAAACUCCUUUCGCUAGGGACGAAGCUUUUUGUGACGGUACCUAGAUAAGAAGCACCGGCUAACUACGUG
This 465-nucleotide ribosomal RNA is filed under the name uncultured bacterium. Its description in RNAcentral is "partial 16S ribosomal RNA". It matches the Rfam family "Bacterial small subunit ribosomal RNA", at positions 28 to 507 of the family's 1533-position model. The record is from RNAcentral.